UCUUUCUAACCAAAAUAAAAUUAACAAGCAUAACACUUAAUUCGAGAGUUAUCAUUUUAGGAAGUCGAAUGUUUUAAAAAUAUCGAAAACAAACUAAUAAUUAUAAUUGCUGAUAAUUAGGAUGACCGAGCUUCCGAACCACCAACCUGAUCAAGUCUGUGGACUACCUGCAAUUUAAGCAACAGACAAAACGAGUUAGUAUAGCACUAAAGGAAAGAUUAUAUAAGUCCGAACAAUUUACGAGUAACAAGUAAGUUUCCUUAUACAGGUUUAGAAUCAGACUCAGAGGACAAUCCAUUAACUUAACAUAUCAAAACAAAUCAAACAGGUAACCAUUUACUUUUUUUUCAGAUACAUAACAUAUCAGAAUAGAUAUAGUGUCAUGCAAAGCAGAUUAGAACAUAUACAGUGUCAUGCAGAACAGAUCGGAACAGAUACAAUGUCCUACCCCCAUCUGCUACACACCAUCUCUUACCAACCCAACACACAAAACAAGGUAUUUAAUACUCAUCCAGCCCUACACACCACAUAGUGUUGAUAUUACACAUUUCAAUUAUCGUAGACCAGCUGCCAGAUCAGAUUAUAGAUAUUAGUGGUUUAAACAAUAGCUCAGAAUAAAAUACUUCCACCAUUAAUCAAUUCCCACCCAAUGCAAAUGCAUAUUUCAAAUGACAGUUAAUACAGAGGCCUAUACGACCAUUCAGAUAUAGUUCAUACUCAUACAGAAUAAAUCAAUAUGAUUAACGAUUUUCAGUCGCAAUACACAUACAGAUUUUCAGUACUCAGUCUCAGAUCACAGAAUAAUAGUUUAAUUCAGUUCAUAUGGAAUUUAUAGAAGGCAUGUGUUCGUUUCAAACAACACUUCUGGCCGAAAAAAAAAGUCCAAAUAUUGGUCCACGCAGUUGUGUGGUUACACACAGCCUGGAUAGCAGGCUCGUAUGGUCCCACACGGCCUGACACACACCUGUGUGUUCGCCUAUGUGCCUUACACGGCCUGAUACAUACCCAUGUCACUUGCCC
This 1020-nucleotide long non-coding RNA is filed under the name Gossypium barbadense (sea-island cotton). RNAcentral's name for it is "long non-coding RNA (GBAR_LNC023574)". The record is from RNAcentral. Lineage: Eukaryota; Viridiplantae; Streptophyta; Magnoliopsida; Malvales; Malvaceae.